GCUGUAGGUCAGUGGUAGAGCAUCUGCCUUGAAUGCAGAAGGUGCUGGGUUCAAUCCCCAGCAUCACCA
Non-coding RNA from Podarcis lilfordi (Lilford's wall lizard), 69 nucleotides. NCBI's taxonomy places the organism in Eukaryota, Metazoa, Chordata, Lepidosauria, Squamata, Lacertidae. The record is from the annotation of a GenBank genome assembly.